AGCAGCCGCGGUAAUUCCAGCUCCAAUAGCGUAUAUUAAAGUUGUUGCAGUUAAAAAGCUCGUAGUUGAAUUUCGGGAUCAAUAUGUUGGUCGUGCCUCGGUACGUACUAGCUUAUUGGUUUCUCCUUUCUGAAGAACCAUGAUGUCAUUUAUUUGGUGUCGUGGGGAAUCAGGACUGUUACUUUGAAAAAAUUAGAGUGUUUAAAGCAGGCUCACGCUUGAAUACAUUAGCAUGGAAUAAUGAAAUAGGACGUUUGAUUCUAUUUUGUUGGUUUCUAGGAUCGACGUAAUGAUUAAUAGGGAUAGUUGGGGGCAUUAGUAUUCAAUUGUCAGAGGUGAAAUUCUUGGCAUUUAUUGAAGACUAACUACUGCGAAAGCAUUUGCCAAGGAUGUUUUCAUUAAUCAAGAACGAAAGUUAGGGGAUCGAAGACGAUCAGAUCCCGUCGUAGUCUUAACCAUAAACUAUGCCGCACUAGGGAUCGGAUGAAUGUUAAUUUUUUAAUGACUCA
Molecule: ribosomal RNA, 509 nt
Filed under: uncultured Glomus
Lineage: Eukaryota; Fungi; Glomeromycota; Glomeromycetes; Glomerales; Glomeraceae
Description: SSU rRNA
Rfam family: Eukaryotic small subunit ribosomal RNA
Source: RNAcentral